GAUGAAGAACGCAGCGAACUGCGAUAAGUAAUGUGAAUUGCAGAAUUCAGUGAAUCAUCGAGUCUUUGAACGCACAUUGCGCCCCCUGGCAUUCCGGGGGGCAUGCCUGUCCGAGCGUCAUUGCUGCCCUUCAAGCCCGGCUUGUGUGUUGGGUCGUCGUCCCCCCCGGGGGACGGGCCCGAAAGGCAGCGGCGGCACCGCGUCCGGUCCUCGAGCGUAUGGGGCUUUGUCACCCGCUCGAUUAGGGCCGGCCGGGCGCCAGCCGGCGUCUCCAACCUUCUAUUUUACCAGGUUGACCUCGGAUCAGGUAGGGAUACCCACUGAACUUAAGCAUAUCAAUAAGCGGAGGA
RNAcentral lists this unclassified non-coding RNA (350 nucleotides) under soil metagenome. RNAcentral's name for it is "partial contains 5.8S ribosomal RNA, internal transcribed spacer 2, and large subunit ribosomal RNA". The stretch from base 1 to 120 matches the Rfam family "5.8S ribosomal RNA", at positions 35 to 154 of the family's 154-position model. The record is from RNAcentral.